GAAUAUUGGACAAUGGGCGAAAGCCUGCUCCAGCCAUGCCGCGUGUGUGAAGAAGGUCUCCGGACUGUAAAGCACUUUAAGUUGUGAGGAAGGGCAGUAAGCGAAUCCCUUGCUGUUUUGACGUUACCGACCGAAUAAGCACCGGCUACCUCCGUGCCAGCAGCCGCGGUAAUACAGAGGGUGCACGCGUUAAUCGGAAUUGCUGGGCGUAAAGCGCGCGUAGGUGGUUCGUUAAGGUGGAUGUGAAAUCCCCGGGCUCAACCUGGGAACUGCAUCCAAAACUGGCGAGCUAGAGUAGGGCAGAGGGUGGUGGAAUUUCCUGUGUAGCGGUGAAAUGCGUAGAUAUAGGAAGGAACACCAGUGGCGAAGGCGACCACCUGGGCUCAUACUGACACUGAGGUGCGAAAGCGUGGGGUGCAAACAG
This 424-nucleotide ribosomal RNA is filed under the name uncultured bacterium. RNAcentral describes it as "partial 16S ribosomal RNA". It matches the Rfam family "Bacterial small subunit ribosomal RNA", at positions 359 to 775 of the family's 1533-position model. The record is from RNAcentral.